UUUCUGUGUCAUACCUCUCAAUUUCUUAUGUUUUAUCUUACCAGAGCUGGUAUAUUAUAGGUAAAAAGCAAGGAGUAGUCAUUGGCAAAACCUGAGUCCUGUCCUCCUGCUCUCCUCCCUGGACAGCAUUAGCCUCACCACUCGCUACACCUUCUCCACAAACUACCAGCCUGGGCUCUGAGCCAGCUACGGCACCCAGCCGGUCAGCAACAGGGCCAGCGUCUGUGCAGGUGCCAGGGGCUCAGGCUCCCAAAUCUCUGUGUCCUGCUCCGCCGAUUUCUGGGGUCUGGAGGCCUGGCCACAGGGGGUCUGGCAGGAAUGGGGGGCCUCCAGAAUGAGAAGGAGACCAUGCAAAGCCUGAACGAUUGCCUGGCCUCCUACAUAGACAGAGUGAGGAGCCUGGAUACUGAGAACCAGAGGCUGAAGAGCAAAAUUUGGGAGCAUCUGGAGAAGGGACCCUAGGUCAGAGACUAGGGGCCGUUACUUCAAGACCACUGAGGACCUGAGGGCUCAGAUCUUCACAAUACUGUGGACAAUAUUGACAUCAUUCUGCAGAUCUACAAUGCACAUUCGCUGCUGAUAACUUCAGAGUCAAGUACGAGACAAAGCUGGCCAUGUGCCAGUCUGUGGAGAGCGACAUCCAUAGGCUCCACAGGGUCAUUGAUGAUACCAGUGUCACUCACUCGGCUGCAGCAGGAGACAGAUCAAGGCUGUCAAGGAGGAGCUGCUCUUCAUGGAGAAGAACCACAAAGAGGAAGUAAAAGGCCUACAAACUCAGAUUGCUAGCUCUGGGUUGACCAUGGAGGUAGAUGCUCCCAAAUCUCAGGACCUCACCAAAAUCAUGGCAGACAUCAGGGCCCAAUACAAUGAGCUGGCUCAGAAGAACCAACAGUAGUGGACAAGUGCUGAUCUCAGCAGAUUGAGGAGAGCACCACAGUGGUCACCACGCAGUCUGCCAAGGUCAGAGCUGCUGAGAUGACAUGGAGCUGAGACGUAUAGUCCAAUCCUUGGAGAUCGACCUGGAGUCAAUGAGAAAUCUGAAGGCCCCCUUGGAGAACAGCCUGAGGGAGGUGGAGGCUUGCUAUGCCCUGCAGAUGGAGCAGCUCAACAGGAUCCUGCUGCACCUGGAGUCAGAGCUGGCACAGACCUGGGCUGAGGGACAGCACCAGGCCCAGGAGUACAAGACCCUAAUGAACAUCAAGGUCAAGCUGGAGGCUGAUUGCCACCUACCACCGCCUGCUGGAAGACAGCAAGGACUUCAAUACUCGUGAUGCCCUGGACAGCAGCAACUCCAUGCAAACCAUCUAAAACCAUCACUGACCAGAUAGUGAAUGGCAAAGUGGUAUCUGAGACCAGUGACACUGAAGUUAUGAGACAUUAAGCCAGCAGAAACAGUACCCUUUGGGGAGCAAAAAGCCAAUAAAAAGUUGAGAGGUGGAAAAAAAAAAAAAAAAGGAAUAGUCCAUGGUAAUUAAAAAAACGUAUAUAUUCUUUUGAGAUGGAGUUUUGCUCUUUUUGCCCAGGCUGGAGUGCAAAGGCACUGUCUCGGUUCACUGCAACCUCUGCCUCCCAGGUUCAAGUGAUUCUCUUGCCUUAGCCUCCCAAGUAGCCGGGAUUACAGGCGCCCACCACCAUGCCCAGCUAAUUUUUGUAUUUUUGGUAAGAGCUGGGGUUUCACUGUUGGCCAAGCUGGUCCCGAAUUCCUGACCUCAGGUGAUCUGCCCACCUUGGCCUCCCAAAGUGUUGGAAUUGCAAACAUGAGUCACAGUGCCCAGCCUAAAAAAUGUAUUUAAAGAAAUAAGUCAUUGGCAUGUUUCAUUAGGAAAAAGGUGUCACAGUUAUUGUUACUAUCUUGGAUCACCUGAUGACUCAGUUUUUUUUUUAAUUUUUAUUUUUCUGGGUACAUAGGUGUCUAUAUUCAUGGUGUACAUGAGAUAUUUUGAUACAACCAUCCCAUGCAUAAUAAUUACAUUAUGUCAAAUAGGCCUCUCAUCCCCUCAAACAUUUAUCCUUUGUGUUACAAACACUCCAAAUGCAGACUCCGUUUUUGUUUGUUUUGUUUGUUGAGAUGGAGUUUUGCUCCUGUCACCCAGGCUGGAGUGCAGUGGUGCAAUCUUCGCUCACUGCAACCUCUGCUUCCCAGGUUCAAGCAAUUCUCCUGCCUCAGCCUCCUGAGUAGCUGGGAUUACAGGUUUGCACCAUCACAUCCGGCUAAUUUUUAUAUUUUUAGUAGAGAUAGGGUUUUGCCAUAUUGGCCAGGCUGAUCUCGAACUCCUGACCUCUGCUGAUUCACCUGCCGCGGCCUCCCAAAGCGCUGAGAUUAUAGGCAUGAGCCACCACACCCGGCCCAGACUCCAUUUUUUUUUAUGGGGUAGAUUUGUAGAAAAUUAACAACUUAGAAGUUACAGUCUAUAUUCCAACUUUUUUUAUAAGCUUAUUUUCCUAUAUAAAAUGUUUAGUGUCUCAGCAGACGCUCGGAACUGCCGACCCAAGAGCUUCCCGCAUAGGGCUGGUGGCGGGAGCGGAGUGGGUCAGGCGGGGCGGAGCCGGGGCCGUGGGCAGUGUGGGGUCCGGGCGGCGGCCAGGCCAGCGGAUGGCAGGAUGGGGUGCACCGUGAGCAUCGAGGACAAGAUGGUGGCUGAGUGCUCUAAGAUGAUCAACAAGAACCUGCGAGAAGGCGGCGCGGGAGGUGAAGUUGCUGCUGUUGGGUGCUGGGGAGUCAGGGAAGAGCACCAUCAUCAAGCAGAUGAUCAUCCAGGAGGAUGGCUACUCCGAGGAGGAAUGCCGGCAGUACAGGGCGGUUGUCUACAGCAACACUGUCCAGUCCAUCAUGGCCAUUGUCAAGGCCAUGGGCAACCUGCAGAUCGAUUUCGCCGACCCCUGCAGAGCGGAUGAUGCCAGGCAGCUGUUUGCACUGUCCUGCACUGCUGAGGAGCAGGGCGUGCUCCCUGAUGACCUGUCCGGCGUCAUCCGGAGGCUCUGGGCUGACCAUGGUGUGCAGGCCUGCUUUGGCCACUUGGGGGAAUACCUGCUUAACGACUCAACCGCCUACUACCUGAAUGACCGGGAGUGCAUUGCACAGAGUGACUACAUGCCCACACAGCAAGAUGUGCUAGGACCCACGUAAAGACCACAGGGAUCGUGGAGACACACUUCACCUUCAAGGACUUACACUUCAAGAUGUUUGAUGUGGGUGGUCAGCGGUCUGAGCAAAAGAAGUGAAUCCACUGCUUUGAGGGUGGCACAGCCAUCCUCUUCUGCAUAGCAUUGAGCUCCUAUGACUUGGUGCUAGCUGAGGACGAGGAGAUGAACUGCAUGCAUGAGAGCAUGAAGCUAUUCGACAGCAUCUGCAACAAGUGGUCCACAGACAUGUCCAUCAUCCUCUUCCUCAACAAGAAGGAUCUAUUCAAGGAGAAGAUCACACACAGUCCCCUGGUCAUCUGCUUCCCUGAGUACACAGGGGCCAACAAGUAUGAUGAGGCAGCCAGCCACAUCCAGAGUAAGUUUGAGGACCUGAAUAAGCGCAAAGAUACCAAGGAGAUCUACACGCACUUCACGUGUGCCACCAACACCAAGAACGUGCACUUUGUGUUUGACGCCAUCACUUGAUGUCAUUAUCAAGAACAACCUGAAGGACUGCGGCCUCUUCUGAGGGGCAGCAGGGCCUGGCAGGAUGGGCCGCCGCCAACUCUGUACCCCCAACCCCUGAGGAAGAUGGGGGCAAGAAGACCACGCUCCCCGCUUGUUCCCCCAGCCGCUUUUCUCCUCUUUCCUCUCUUUGUUCUCAGCUCCCCAUCCCCUCAGCUCCAGACAUAGGGGAGGGGUUGCCACAGGCCUCCCUGUUUGAAGCCUGCCCUUGUUUGAGGUGCCAGUAAUGGCCAUGGUACCCCCUUUCUGGGCAUCUGUUCUGGUUUUUAACCAUUGUCUAGUUCUGUGAUGGGGGGAGGGGGGCACAUGCUGAGUCUCCCAAGGCUGCAUCUGGAGGAGCCCCCACUUCGCCAGCCUGGACCCCUAGCUUUGUCCAACACCAGCCUCUGCCCCAGCCCAAGUCCAAAUGUUUACGGGAGCCUCCUGCCCAGUUCCCCAUCCCACAGCCGCUUGGAGGCCCCAAAGGAAAAAGCACAAGAAGCGUGAGAUGCCACCAUUCCUGGAGACCACAGUCCACCUGCUCAUUCUCGUAGCUUUUU
This is a non-coding RNA of Callithrix jacchus (white-tufted-ear marmoset), 4187 nucleotides long. Lineage: Eukaryota; Metazoa; Chordata; Mammalia; Primates; Cebidae. The record is from RefSeq and is a predicted model, not a curated record.